RNAcentral lists this unclassified non-coding RNA (242 nucleotides) under Hevea brasiliensis (rubber tree). The record is from RNAcentral. Lineage: Eukaryota; Viridiplantae; Streptophyta; Magnoliopsida; Malpighiales; Euphorbiaceae.
UUGUUCCUUAUUUCUGGAAGACUUUGAAAUUCACAAACGUGAAUUGGUAGAUUAUUGGAUUUGUGAGAAUUUUGGUGAUCGCAAUGAGUCAUAUUCUAUAAUCUGUUCACUUGUUGGGGCAUGUUUAUUGGAANNNGAGCAAGGCGGACAUGUGAAAAUGCAUGAUGUGAUUCGUGACAUGGCUCUGUGGAUAGCAUGUAAAUAUGAAAAAGAAAAGCACAAGUUUUUUGUGGAAGCGGGUG